ACUAGAUUAUGUUUAUUCAAUUAACACAUUCAACAACACCAAAUUAAUGCAAAAAUGUGAUAUCCGAAAUCAUUUUCUUGCAUAUUUGUAAAGAUAUUCGAAUUUAAAAUCGUAAUUAUUAUUAUCGGAAAAAUGUGUCUAAACAACUAUCAUUACAAAGUAUUAUCAUAUCUUGUUAAAAUGAGAAAAAAAAGUAUAGCAAAUAUAUACAUAGGAGAGUCGGCUGUAUCGCCUAUAUAGUACCGGCGUUUAAAUAUUAUAUAUUACUUAAACGCAUGUUUUACGGCGAUAAUAGCGAAAAACUUAUUUUUAAUUUUUUCUAUACAAUUUUUGUAAUAGCCAUUUUUUACUAGCGGUGCUGCACGCGCCACACUUUCGUAUAAUAUUAUCUUAUUAGAAACUUUUCAACUUCAUGGGAAGUCAUUCGAUUGACAUCUUGCAAAAUAUUUCAUGUAUGUUCCAAAUUAUUAUACUCCUGUUUUGAGACACAUUCGUCCAUGCAGUAUCAGAGUGUACUUAAGCAAACUGAUAAAACGUUGUCAAGUGAAUAAUACUUGAAGACAUUAACACGAUAAUUCCAUAUAGGUUAGUAAUUACUCAAACAAGUAGAUGUUACACGCUUAGCGAGGUCGUGCGUCAUGGCUAAUAAGGUAAAUCAUUAAGCACCGUACGCAUGUUCUGUGUACACGUACGACCAAAAUAGUAAAUUUAAAUAUACCUAUAGAACGGAAGAGAAUGUCUAAAUUAUUUCAAUUAUUUGUCACCCGCGCCAACAAUCACGCGAUCUGAAGUAUUCUUUAUUACGUGCUGUACUUUGUUGACAAGGGGCACGCAACCAUGAGAAGGGGUGUCAAUUACAGUAGGAAGGUCACGCCAGGGCGCACCGGGAUGAGGUCACGCUCCGAGCACGAAACAAUGCCACCGCAGGGAUCAUACAAAGAUGCAGGCAGGGGUUCAAAUUUGUUGGGAACGAAGACCUGAUACAGCUUCCCAUAGAAGAGUUACAUUUAUUGAAACAUGUAUCUGCAGAUCAUUUUAAAAAUAGUGCUUUUAAUAAAAAAAAAUAAAGAAAAAAAAAUAGUGAAGGAUUUUAUAAUUACAUUCUGAGUGUAACGAGGUAUUCUAAAAUAGAAUCCUAGCGUAGUGAGGGAUUCAAGUGUUAACGCCUAAGGGUGGUAUUCCACCUAUGCAAUUU
This is a long non-coding RNA of Cydia pomonella (codling moth), 1195 nucleotides long. RefSeq lists it as uncharacterized. The transcript is spliced from 3 exons. The record is from RefSeq and is a predicted model, not a curated record. NCBI's taxonomy places the organism in Eukaryota, Metazoa, Arthropoda, Insecta, Lepidoptera, Tortricidae.